UGGGGAAUAUUGCACAAUGGGCGCAAGCCUGAUGCAGCAACGCCGCGUGAGGGACGACGGCCUUCGGGUUGUAAACCUCUUUUAGUAGGGAAGAAGCGAAAGUGACGGUACCUGCAGAAAAAGCACCGGCUAACUACGUGCCAGCAGCCGCGGUAAUACGUAGGGUGCGAGCGUUGUCCGGAAUUAUUGGGCGUAAAGAGCUCGUAGGCGGUCUGUCGCGUCUGCUGUGAAAACCCGAGGCUCAACCUCGGGCCUGCAGUGGGUACGGGCAGACUAGAGUGCGGUAGGGGAGAAUGGAAUUCCUGGUGUAGCGGUGGAAUGCGCAGAUAUCAGGAGGAACACCGAUGGCGAAGGCAGUUCUCUGGGCCGUAACUGACGCUGAGGAGCGAAAGCGUGGGGAGCGAACAGGAUUAGAUACCCUGGUAGUCCACGCCGUAAACGUUGGGCGCUAGAUGUGGGGACCAUUCCACGGUUUCCGUGUCGCAGCUAACGCAUUAAGCGCCCCGCCUGGGGAGUACGGCCGCAAGGCUAAAACUCAAAGGAAUUGACGGGGUCAUAGCUGUUUCCU
This 568-nucleotide ribosomal RNA is filed under the name uncultured bacterium. Its description in RNAcentral is "partial 16S ribosomal RNA". It matches the Rfam family "Bacterial small subunit ribosomal RNA", at positions 355 to 1375 of the family's 1533-position model. The record is from RNAcentral.